AAAAACAAGCAAAGGCUGAGUGUAACGAAUUCCCAAUUUAAGGCAAAAUAGAAAAAUCUGAGGGAUUCUUUUAUAUAAAGAACCUCUCAUCUCCUGCAGCUGAAGGGCAGAAAAAGCUGAGGUUAUGAAUCAGAAAUUAUUUACAAGGGUAGAGUAGCUCAAGAAGCUUGAAUGCAUGGAUGUGAGGGUGGUCUGGCUGUGACAUCUGUCACCCCAUUGAUUGCCAGGGUUGAUUCGGUUGAUAUGGCUGGCUAGGUGGGUGUCCCCUUCCUGCCUCACCACUCCAUGUACAUCCCUCCUGAAGCUGCUUGCUUGGUCAAAGAGGACAACCAUCCCUGAUAGAGGAGGACCGGUCUUCAGUCAAGGGUAUACGAGUAGCUGCGCUCCCCUGCUAGAGCCUCCAAACAAGCUCUCAAGAAGAUUG
This 424-nucleotide long non-coding RNA is filed under the name Homo sapiens (human). RNAcentral describes it as "HSALNT0287045". The stretch from base 178 to 424 matches the Rfam family "7SK RNA", at positions 1 to 248 of the family's 331-position model. From Rfam's summary of the family: 7SK was discovered as an abundant small nuclear RNA in the mid-70s but a possible function has only recently been suggested. Lineage: Eukaryota; Metazoa; Chordata; Mammalia; Primates; Hominidae. The record is from RNAcentral.